AACGAACGCUGGCGGCAUGCCUAACACAUGCCAGUCGAACGAGACCUUCGGGUCUAGUGGCGCACGGGUGCGUAACGCGUGGGAACCUGCCCUUAGGUUCGGAAUAACUCCCCGAAAGGGGUGCUAAUACCGGAUAAUGUCUUCGGACCAAAGAUUUAUCGCCUUUGGAUGGGCCCGCGUUGGAUUAGCUAGUUGGUAGGGUAAAAGCCUACCAAGGCGACGAUCCAUAGCUGGUCUGAGAGGAUGAUCAGCCACACUGGGACUGAGACACGGCCCAGACUCCUACGGGAGGCGGCAGUGGGGAAUAUUGGACAAUGGGCGAAAGCCUGAUCCAGCAAUGCCGCGUGAGUGAUGAAGGCCUUAGGGUUGUAAAGCUCUUUUACCCGGGAUGAUAAUGACAGUACCGGGAGAAUAAGCUCCGGCUAACUCCGUG
This 433-nucleotide ribosomal RNA is filed under the name uncultured bacterium. RNAcentral describes it as "partial 16S ribosomal RNA". It matches the Rfam family "Bacterial small subunit ribosomal RNA", at positions 29 to 507 of the family's 1533-position model. The record is from RNAcentral.